ACACGUAGGGGCCUGACGUUGUUCGGAAUCAUUGGGCGUAAAGGGCGCGCAGGCGGCCGUCCAAGUCCGGUGUUAAAUGGUCGGGCUCAACCCGAUCAUGCGCUGGAAACUGGGCGGCUUGAGUCCCGUAGGGGAUGCCGGAAUUCCAGGUGUAGGGGGGAAAUCUGUAGAUAUCUGGAAGAACACCGAUGGCGAAGGCAGGCAUCUGGCCGGAGACUGACGCUGAGGCGCGAAGGCGCGGGGAGCGAACAGGUUUAGAUACCCUGGUAGUCCGCGCAGUAAACGAUGCGCACCAGGUGUCGGGCGGCAGCGCCCGGUACCGGAGCUAACGCGAUGAGUGCGCCGCCUGGGGAGUAUGCCCGCAAGGGUGAAACUAAAAGGAAUUGGCGGG
Molecule: ribosomal RNA, 391 nt
Filed under: uncultured bacterium
Lineage: Bacteria
Description: partial 16S ribosomal RNA
Rfam family: Bacterial small subunit ribosomal RNA
Source: RNAcentral